CCUACGGGAGGCAGCAGUGAGGAAUAUUGGUCAAUGGGCGCGAUCCUGAACCAGCCAAGUCGCGUUAGGGAAGACGGUCCUAUGGAUUGUAAACCUCUUUUGUCGGGGAUCAAAAGACGCCACGCGUGGCGUUCCGAGUGUACCCGAAGAAAAAGCAUCGGCUAACUCCGUGCCCGCAGCCGCGGUAAUACGGAGGAUGCGAGCGUUAUCCGGAUUUAUUGGGUUUAAAGGGUGCGAAGGCGGAAGAUCAAGUCAGCGGUAAAAUUGAGAGGCUCAACCUCUUCGAGCCGUUGAAACUGGUUGUCUUGAGUUAGAGAGAAGGAUGCGGAAUGCGUGGUGUAGCGGUGAAAUGCAUAGAUAUCACGCAGAACUCCGAUUGCGAAGGCAGCAUACCGGCGCUCAACUGACGCUGAUGCACGAAAGUGUGGGUAUCGAACAGGAUUAGAUACCCGUGUAGUC
RNAcentral lists this ribosomal RNA (459 nucleotides) under uncultured bacterium. RNAcentral's name for it is "partial 16S ribosomal RNA". It matches the Rfam family "Bacterial small subunit ribosomal RNA", at positions 338 to 795 of the family's 1533-position model. The record is from RNAcentral.